RNAcentral lists this long non-coding RNA (1922 nucleotides) under Equus caballus (horse). RNAcentral describes it as "lncRNA (ENSECAG00000054915.1)". Lineage: Eukaryota; Metazoa; Chordata; Mammalia; Perissodactyla; Equidae. The record is from RNAcentral.
GACUUGAGCUUUUAUUUCAAGUGAAGAGAACUGUCUUUGGAGGAUUACUAUUAUUAUUUAUUAAUCAUAUUAAUCACCUAUUAAUAUUAUCCAGUGCUAUGCUAUGGCAUGUUAUGAUUGCUCUAGCUACCACUUCUUGAGCAUUUAGUCUAUGCCAACUGGAUUAGGUGCGUCAGAUUAAUCAUCCCAUUUAAUCUUCCCGACCUCCUUGAGGCAGGGACUUUGCCAUCUCAGUUUUACUGCUGGGGAAACUGAGGCUCGGAGAAGCCUUGCCCAAGAUCUUUCAUUUAUUCCACAAAUAGUUAUGAGCACCUUUUGUAUGCUCUUUCGAAGUGCUAGGACACACAGCUUUAACUCACAGGGUCGUGAUUAGAACCCUGCUCUGCAUCCCAAGAGCCAGCACUCAGCCCCACUAUGCCCUGCUGGGGGGGGACGGAAGAAGAGGAAGAAAUGAAGGCAGCCAUCCCAGCGGCAGGGAGCUCCUCCUUCCUGAAGGCGUGUGGGCGGAAGGGGCUGAGCACACGAAGGUGCCGGCGCCUCUGAGUGUUGGGCCAAAGGACUGGAAGUGAGAACACUCAGGUUCCAAGUCCCCCUGUGUGCGCUGAGCUGUGUACCCCGUGAUGGAUCUGCUGCAGUCCUAACUCCGGGUACCUGGGAAUGUGACCUUAUGUGGAAAUCGGGUCUUUGCAGCUGUGAUCAAGUUAAGACCACGUCGUUAGGGUGGACCCUAAUCCAAUAUGACGCUGUCCUUGUAAGAAGAGACUCACAGAGACACACAGGGAGAAGGCCGUACUACGACCAAGGCAGAGAGAGCAGUGACGUCCCUACAAGCAAGGAACACCAAGCAUUGCCACCACCCCCACAAGCUAAGGGACAGGCAUGGACAGAUUCUCCCCUGGAGCCUUCAGAUGCCCUGCUGCCAUCUUGAUUCUGGACUUGUGGCCUCCAGAACCGUGAGAGAAUAGAGAGACUGCAGCUGAAAAGUGAAGAAUUGAGUCGGGCUAGAGACCAGGGCAGCCUUCCUGUCACCAGCGCCUGAUGCAAAGUGAGACUGAUGACAGACUGCAGUCUGUUGAUUUGCUCCACCCGAAUCAGAGGACGCACCGAGAUCUGGACAAACUUGGUGUGCGUGUAGCCUAUACCCGUGUCUGUGUUCCUGAUGCCAUACGCAGGCGUCACGAGUGCCCUGUCCUGGUGGGGGUACCUGCACACCCAAAAGACCAGAGCAUCAGAAAUCACCACUAGGAAAAAGGCGCCCUGGCCUAGGCUCCAAAUUCGAGCUUUAAGAGCUGACACGAGUCUCCUUUCAAAGGUCUUUCUUGCGUCUAUUGGCUGCUUACUCUCUCAGGGAAGAAACUGUUCGUCAGUGGAAUCAAAACAAGGGAUACUUAAAAAGCUCCAGGAAAGUCAUAUUUCCUGGAGAUGGAAAAUAUUUUUCUCAAAGGGAACUGGGAAGAGGCAAGAAUUUUUAAAAGGAUGACCUAUGAAAGAGGAACGGAGCCAGAACACGAUCCAAGAGAGGCUUUCAAAGCUUACAGUGGAGGAGAAAUGGCUUGUUUGAGACGAGGAAAGAGGCGGAACAAGGGAAGUAACUUGCCUGAGGUCACAUGGCUUGUCAGUGUCACAGGGCAAGAUUCCAUUCCAGGACUCCCGGAUUCCAGCAUCUCUGCUCCUAACCAGCCAAUCCUUGCUGUCUUCUCCUGCUGGCACCGACUCCGCUAAGAAACAGAAGGUUCAAGAUGGCGACACAGGAAGAUCCUGAACUCGCCUCCCCCACAGACACACUGAAUCUACAGCUGCAUAUGGAGCAAUUUCCUCUCAAAAAAACCCUAAAAUCUAGUGGAAAGACUCCUUCGUAUUAGGGAAAUGAGAAAACAAAAAACAAAAAAACAUUGAUGCGAGUAGGAAAGGCUGAGAUAGUC